This 471-nucleotide ribosomal RNA is filed under the name Triticum aestivum (bread wheat). RNAcentral describes it as "partial small subunit ribosomal RNA". The record is from RNAcentral. Lineage: Eukaryota; Viridiplantae; Streptophyta; Magnoliopsida; Poales; Poaceae.
AUGAGUAUCCUAUGCUGGAACUGUCGCGGCCUGGGGUCGAACGCGACAGUGGGCGAGCUUCGCUGGUUAGUGAAGACUUAUCGACCCUCGAUCCUCUUCUUGUCGGAGACCAAGAUGGUGGAUCGUAAAGCAAAGAACUUUAUGUGGUUUUUGGGCUACUCUGGUUCUUUCGCUGUUAGCUCCGAAGGCCUCAGUGGAGGCUUGGCCCUUUUCUGGUCUUCGCCACAUUCAGUUUUGCUGAAGGGUUUCAACUCACAUUGCAUUGAUGUGACGGUCUCAUCGGAUGAUCUGGCUCCUUGGCGGGUGACCUUUGUUUAUGGGGAACCAAAGCGCGAGCUUCGUCAUGAAUUUUGGAGCUUGAUAAGGAGGUUGUCCCGGUCGUGGAAGGGCCCGUGGAUUUGCUGUGGCGAUUUCAACGAGGCUCUCUGCCAUGAUGAGCACUUUGGGGCUCGUGACCGAUCGGAUGCCUAG